CUCAAAUCACCACUCAUAAGGGGCCCAGUAGGAGCUGCACCCAUGCAACCGCCUCCAGCAAACAGUACCUCUAACAACUGGUGCACUUAUGCCAGUGGCCCAGUGAGUUCCCAGCGCUGAGGCCACUGCCCCCAGCAUUGCUGUGUCCUCUCUGACGAUGCUCCGGAUGUCCCCCUAUACCCACAGUUGAGAUCUGACCCACGGCCGGAUUCCAAUCCUGAACCUUGUGCUUAUGUCACCAACGAGAUGGGACAUGCUGCCACAACAGGAGCUGAGAGCUUGGGGAGGGUGCUGUCCAAAUUCUGUUGUAUCACAGCAGGGAGGGAAGGGCCUGAGGCACGAGACCGAGAGGGAGUCAGGAGAUUGCCUUUCUAUUCUUAGUUCUGCAAUGAGCUUGCUGUGUGCCCUUGGGCAGAUCAGUUCCUCUCUCUAACCCUCAGUUUCCUCAUUUGCUACAACCAAAUGCAGAAUCUUCAAGGCUUUCCCUUUCAGUUCUAACGAGCCCACAGUUCUAGCUGGGAUGCGGGAUGUGUGUGAAGAAAUCUGAGUCUUGGUUUCAUUUCGUAACUUGGGCCCCUCAGCACUUCCCAGCUGGGGCUGGGAACAGGACCAACAUUCAUUGACAAAUGAAGAGAUGAAAACAUUUUCCAAGCUGACAAGCCAUCAACUGGGUGCCACCCGGGAAGAGAAGCCUUGGUCCAGAGCUCUGUAUUCUGCCCUCACAGGCAGGAGAACAUGGAACUGCCAUCCAUACCCAAUGGGCCAUCCUGGGUUUGGGAGGUCUCUUUUACCCUGAGAUCCAGCAGGUUCAAGCGAAGUUAUGAGAGCAGACUCAAGGAUCAUGUCUACCAACCAGUUUGUCUUAGUGUUCAUGGACCAGAGACUGCUUUGCCUGUUGGGGUUGGCUGAAGCCUGUUAUACAGUUACAUAAGCUAAUUUAUCUGGGGGACAAAGCCGUCGUGUACACAGAAGGGCCUUCUUAAAUGGCAGCUAGGGCCACUCUAAUUUUCUUCCAUGGGCUGGUCUGUAUGUGACAAGACCCCACUGGAAACUGACAGUUGGCUGAGGGUGUCUGUUGGCUGUUUUGGUGCAACAUUGCAGGCCCCCUAUGACUCGGGGAGCAAGCCUCCCGGCAUCCACUAAACACCCAGUUCUUAGAGGCUCCACAGAGUGAGGGAGCAGCCUGAGGGGAG
RNAcentral lists this long non-coding RNA (1193 nucleotides) under Cricetulus griseus (Chinese hamster). RNAcentral describes it as "lncRNA (ENSCGRG00015031866.1)". The record is from RNAcentral. Lineage: Eukaryota; Metazoa; Chordata; Mammalia; Rodentia; Cricetidae.